This 19-nucleotide microRNA is filed under the name Schistosoma mansoni. Its description in RNAcentral is "sma-miR-8445-3p". Lineage: Eukaryota; Metazoa; Platyhelminthes; Trematoda; Strigeidida; Schistosomatidae. The record is from miRBase by way of RNAcentral.
UAGGUAGGAGAAAUAAGGU